RNAcentral lists this long non-coding RNA (646 nucleotides) under Homo sapiens (human). RNAcentral describes it as "HSALNT0265692". The record is from RNAcentral. Lineage: Eukaryota; Metazoa; Chordata; Mammalia; Primates; Hominidae.
UUUCCACCCAAGACAGCAUGAGUAGAGAGCAGACAGUGAUGACUUCAGGGCCUUGUCAGUGGCACACCCUCAGCAACAGCUAGUUCUGGCUGCGGUUAGUGUCUUGAGAGGAGAGUGUCGGUGGGAGAUAGAUGCUUCAUCUUGAGGCCUGUAGCAUGAGCCCAGAGAGGGAUGGAGGGAAUCUCAAGGCUGAAAUCUGAAAGUAAAUUCUAGGGGAAUCACAGCUGUAGCAGCCCUAGAGAAGCCUCAUGUGGAGAUGGCGGAGACACCAAAACACUUUCCCUGAAUUGCCAGGUCCCUGCACCAGGGACAGUCGCCCCAAACAACUGCUGGAUAUGUGACAGCCUCUGAGUGAGCAGAAAAUAAAGACCCUCCGUGUAAGCCCCUGCAAUGUUGGGGGAGUUUGUUUCUGCAGCACAGCUCAGCCAAUUGCUACUACGAACACUGCUGGAAACUGUUACCUGGGCAAGUCCCUCCCAGCCCUAGGAGUCCAGGAAAUUCUCACUUUCUCUUCUACAUACAGAGCUUUGCUAUUCUUCAGCUGUAACCUGAGUGACAACCAUUGUGACAAUCAGUGCAACAAAAGGACGCUGAUCAAAUGGAGCAGACCGGCUGGGCAUGGUGGUUCAUGCCUGUAAUCCCAGCA